AAUCGCCUAGGGGGGCAGCAGUGGGGAAUAUUGCACAAUGGGGGGAACCCUGAUGCAGCGACGCCGCGUGGGUGAGGGAGUAUUUCGGUAUGUAAAGCCCUAUCAGCAGGGAAGAACAAUGACGGUACCUGACUAAGAAGCACCGGCUAAAUACGUGCCAGCAGCCGCGGUAAUACGUAUGGUGCAAGCGUUAUCCGGAUUUACUGGGUGUAAAGGGAGCGCAGGCGGCGCGUUAAGCCUGGUGUGAAAGCCCGCGGCCCAACCGCGGGACUGCAUUGGGAACUGGCGCGCUGGAGUGCCGGCGG
RNAcentral lists this ribosomal RNA (305 nucleotides) under uncultured bacterium. RNAcentral describes it as "bacterial SSU rRNA". It matches the Rfam family "Bacterial small subunit ribosomal RNA", at positions 333 to 655 of the family's 1533-position model. The record is from RNAcentral.